This 443-nucleotide ribosomal RNA is filed under the name uncultured bacterium. Its description in RNAcentral is "partial 16S ribosomal RNA". It matches the Rfam family "Bacterial small subunit ribosomal RNA", at positions 338 to 795 of the family's 1533-position model. The record is from RNAcentral.
CCUACGGGUGGCUGCAGUGGAGAAUAUUGGGCAAUGGAGGCAACUCUGACCCAGCAACGCCGCGUGAAUGAUGAAGGUCUUCGGAUUGUAAAGUUCUUUUAUAAGGGAAGAAGAAAGUGACGGUACCUUAGGAAUAAGCCUCGGCUAACUACGUGCCAGCAGCCGCGGUAAUACGUAGGAGGCAAGCGUUAUCCGGAAUGACUGGGCGUAAAGGGUGCGUAGGUGGUUUGACAAGUUAGUAGCGCAACUCCGGAGCUCAACUUCGGAACUACUACUAAAACUGUUUGACUUGAGUGCAGGAGUGGCAAUCGGAAUUCCUAGUGUAGCGGUGAAAUGCGUAGAUAUUAGGAGGAACACCGGUGGCGAAGGCGGCUUACUGGACUGUAACUGACGUUGAGGCUCGAAAGCGUGGGGAGCAAACAGGAUUAGAUACCCGAGUAGUC